UCCCAGACUCCUACGGGAGGCAGCAGUUAGGAAUAUUCGGCAAUGGGGGAAACCCUGACCGAGCAAUGCCGCGUGUGAGAUGACGGCCCUAUGGGUUGUAAAUCACUUUUAUUUGGGAAGAACUGUAAGUAGAGGAAAUGAUACUUACUUGACGGUACCUUUUGAAUAAGCCCCGGCUAACUACGUGCCAGCAGCCGCGGUAAUACGUAGGGGGCGAGCGUUAUCCGGAUUUAUUGGGCGUAAAGCGUGCGUAGGCGGUUUGUUAAGUCCAGAAUUAAAGCCCGAGGCUUAACCUCGGUUCGUUCUGGAUACUGGCAGGCUAGAGUAUGGUAGAGGCAAAUGGAAUUCCUAGUGUAGCGGUGAAAUGCGUAGAUAUUAGGAGGAACACCAGUGGCGAAAGCGAUUUGCUGGGCCAUCACUGACGCUGAGGUACGAAAGCGUGGGGAGCAAAUAGGAUUAGAUACCCGGGUAGA
Molecule: ribosomal RNA, 473 nt
Filed under: uncultured bacterium
Lineage: Bacteria
Description: bacterial SSU rRNA
Rfam family: Bacterial small subunit ribosomal RNA
Source: RNAcentral